UACGGGGGGGGCAAGCGUUGUUCGGAAUUACUGGGCGUAAAGGGCGCGUAGGCGGUCUUGCAAGUCCUGUGUGAAAUCCCUCGGCUCAACUGAGGAACUGCACAGGAAACUGCUUGGCUUGAGUUCGGGAGAGGGAAGCGGAAUUCCGGGUGUAGCGGUGAAAUGCGUAGAUAUCCGGAGGAACACCGGUGGCGAAGGCGGCUUCCUGGACCGACACUGACGCUGAGGCGCGAAAGCUAGGGGAGCAAACGGG
RNAcentral lists this ribosomal RNA (253 nucleotides) under uncultured bacterium. RNAcentral describes it as "partial 16S ribosomal RNA". It matches the Rfam family "Bacterial small subunit ribosomal RNA", at positions 524 to 776 of the family's 1533-position model. The record is from RNAcentral.